UCCAAUGGAGCAUCAUCUUCUUUGUACUUUUUCAUCUUUCCUAUUUCUCUUCUUAUUCAGUUAUAUUCCUAUCACUAGCCAGCUCCCAUAUGGUAGCAGCAGCAAACAAGCUCAUAAUUAUUCGAAUGUCUCCUGUGUUGAGAAUGAACGACAAACUCUUCUUCAAUUCAAGCAUGAGUUGAUAGAUGGAUCAAAUCGUCUGUCAUCUUGGAUUGGAGAAAGCUGUUGUUCAUGGGAAGGUAUUAGUUGCCACAACACAAAACCACUGGUAGUGUUUUGAAACUUGAUCUAUGCAAUACGGUGCCAUUUUAUGAUUCUGAUGAUGGUUAUCAUUGGACAAAUUGCUUGGGAGGCCAAUUGAGUCCAUCUUUGGUCAAUUUGACCAAUUUGAGAUACUUGGACCUGAGCUCAAAUAAUUUUUCAGGAAUCCAAGUUCCCGCAUUUCUUGGAUUGUUGAAAAACUUGAGAUACCUCAAUCUCGCAAGCGCAGGAUUUGAUGGUGAAAUUCCCCGUCAUUUAGGAAAUCUCUCGCAUUUACGGUAUUUAGAUCUUGGAUAUUCAGGUUUCUCAUUGAGCACUAAGGAUCUCGGAUGGGUUGCUGGGCUCUCUUCUCUAGAAGGCCUAGUCCUGUCCACGGUGAGCGUUAUAGACGCUCGAGAUGGGUUACAAUCAAUUAACAUGCUUCCUUCACUAACAACACUAGACUUAAAUGGUUGUGGUCUUUUCAUCCAUCCUCAUCUUUCACAUGUCAAUUUCACAUCUCUUGCUUUCCUUGAUCUCGUCGUAAAUAAUUUCAACAACAACAUGGUCCCUUCUUGGGUCUGUAAUCUUACUGGCCUCCAUGAUCUUCGUUUUGGUAAUAAUAAUCUUUAUGAUCCAAUUCAUGGCCUGUUUGACCAAAUGACCUCUCUAGUUUAUCUCGAUCUAUCUCCAAACCGCUUUGAUGCUUCAACGUUGAAAUCACUUUGUAAUGCAAGCAGUCUUACUUAUUUGGAUCUGAGUGAUAAUAAUUUGCAAGGGUCAAUACCAAGUGAAAUAGGCCAACUUAUAAAUCUUACUUAUUUGGAUCUGAGCGGCAAUAAUAUGCAAGGGUCAAUACCAAGUGAAAUAGGUCAGCUUCCAAAACUAACAAGGCUAUUAUUGUCAUCUAAUAAAUUAAAUGGUACCAUACCAAUCAAUCUUGGGCAGCUGACGAAGCUACAAGAUUUUGACGUUGGAGACAAUUCAUUGACCGGGGUCCUAUCUGAAGACCAUUUUGCGAAACUACGAGAGCUGAAGUCACUGGACCUAACUGGAAACUCACUCGCUCUGAACGUGAGCUCCUCAUGGAUUCCUCCUUUUCAACUCCGUGAAAUUCAGAUGCAAUCCAUCAUAGUGGGACCUAGGUUUCCAGCUUGGCUUCGGACACAGAAGGGGCUUGAGGUUUUAGACAUACGGAAAGCGAGCAUUUCAGAUGCCAUACCCAACUGGUUUCUCUCUAAAAACAAAUCGUCCACUGUGCGCAGCUGGUUAUAUCUUUCACAAAAUUUUCUUACUGGACAUAUUCCGCAGCUUCAUCAUGCGCUGAGCAUUCUCUCUCUGAAUGAUAACCGUUUCACAGGUACUAUCCCUGAAGAUUUGUGCAAGUUGGAAAAUUUAUAUAUUCUGGAUCUAUCCAACAAUCUUCUGUCCGGAAGAGUUCCUCUGUGUCUAGGAAACUUGCAACCUGAAGCACCUAAAGUUGGCAAAUAACAGUCUAUCCGGUCAAAUUCCGAUUUCACUGGGUAACUUGUAGCAACUUUAUGCUCUGCAUUUGAAUGGAAAUAAAUUCGUUGGAAAGCUCCCGUCAUCAAUGCAGCUUCUGAGCACUUUGGUAAGUUUUGAUCUCGGUAACAAUGGACUAAAUGAUAUUAUACCAGCUUGGAUUGGGGAAAGGUUAUCAAAUUUAAGGAUUCUAAGAUUUCAGUCAAAUAACUUCCAUGAACCUAUUUCUGAUACAAUCUACCAACUCUCAGGUCUUCGAGUUCUAAACCUAGCACAUAAUAACUUGAGUGGAUUUAUUCCUCACUGCUUUAACAACAUUAGUGCCAUGAUGGUAUCAGGGCCAGAUGGACUUUACGACAUUUAUGGACAAGAUAGCCUUCAAGACAUUAAGGGAGGAAGAGAAGAUGAGUUUGACUCAGGGGACCUUCGGCUUCUUAGAUCCGUAAGCCUCUCAGCAAAUAAUUUAGUUGGCGAGAUCCCUGAUGGGUUAAUGGAGCUGGUUCAAUUGCAAGUUUUGAAUCUUUCACAAAAUCAUUUGACUGGAAGGAUCCCCAAGAAGAUUGGCAACUUGAAGCAACUUGAAACAUUUGAUCUUUCAAUGAAUGCACUCUCCGGUGCAAUCCCUGAAAGCUUAUCUGAUUUGUACUCAUUGAACUCUCUGAAUUUGUCACACAAUAAAUUUUCAGGGCCAAUACCAUCAGGAAAUCAACUUCAGACCUUGACCGAUCCAUCCAUCUAUGAAGGAAACAGUGGACUCUGUGGCAAACCGCUCCCAAACAGUUGCUGGGAACACAAAUUGCCUACCAAAAAUAGGCCUAUUGAUGAUGAUGAAGUCCAUGGCGAGUCUGAUUGGUCUUGGUUUUAUGCUGGAAUAGGACCGGGUUUUGUUGUCGGGCUUUUGGGAGUUCUGGGAAUCCUUCUCUUCAAGAAGUCAUGGCGCUAUGCAUACUUCAAGUUUAUAGAAAGCGUCUGUGACAAAAUCUGGGUAAAGACUACUCGCCUGAGGAGGAAUUUCCGUUGAGCCCACAAUCAUUCAAGUGCUUGCUGCUGCUGUUGUGGCCCUCAGAAUAAGCAAUUUCUUCUAGGUGAUUUGAGAAGCAGUAAUAGUUUCACUGUUUUUUUCUGUAUGGUUAUAUUUUGAGUACUAGCUGUUUUUCAGGUUUUUUUUGGCAUCUGCUGAUGUAAUAUGAAAAAUUAGACGUCCUUUUAUUUGCUAUGAAUUGUAUGUCAAUAAAAGUUAUAAUAGUUUGCCUAA
Coffea arabica (coffee) is the source of this 2998-nucleotide non-coding RNA. The record is from RefSeq and is a predicted model, not a curated record. NCBI's taxonomy places the organism in Eukaryota, Viridiplantae, Streptophyta, Magnoliopsida, Gentianales, Rubiaceae.